GCCAAAUUAAUCCAAACUUGGCCACAAUCAUCUUUGGGGUAUCUAGUUUAAAAAAUGUGUGGCGUGACCUGGUCAACCCACCAAGAUGGCCGCCACCGCUAAAAAUAGAACAUAGGGGUAAAAUGCAGUUUUUGGCUUAUAACUCAAAAACCAAAGCAUUUUGAGGAAAUCUGACAGGGGAUAAAAAUGUUUAUCAGGUCAAGAACUAUCUGCCCUGAAAUUUUCAGAUGAAUCGGUCAAUCGGUUGUUGGGUUGCUGCCCCUGAAUUGGUAAUUUUGAAGAAAUUUUGCUGUUUUUGGUUAUUAUCUUGAAUAUUAUUAUAGUUAGAGAUAAACUGUAAACAGCAAUAAUGUUCAGCAAAG
RNAcentral lists this long non-coding RNA (362 nucleotides) under Mytilus galloprovincialis (Mediterranean mussel). The record is from RNAcentral. Lineage: Eukaryota; Metazoa; Mollusca; Bivalvia; Mytilida; Mytilidae.